Molecule: ribosomal RNA, 210 nt
Filed under: uncultured bacterium
Lineage: Bacteria
Description: partial 16S ribosomal RNA
Rfam family: Bacterial small subunit ribosomal RNA
Source: RNAcentral
GGANANUUAGAAAUGACUGCUAAUACCGCAUAGGACCACGGGGAGGCAUCUCUCUGAGGUGAAAGAUUUAUCGGAUAUGGAUGAGCUCGCGUCCCAUUAGGUAGUUGGUGAGGUAACGGCCCACCAAGCCGACGAUGGGUAGCCGGCCUUAGAGGGUGAUCGGCCACAUUGGAACUGAGACACGGUCCAAACUCCUACGGAAGGCAGCAG